This is a long non-coding RNA of Rosa rugosa (rugosa rose), 850 nucleotides long. RefSeq lists it as uncharacterized. The transcript has 6 exons. Lineage: Eukaryota; Viridiplantae; Streptophyta; Magnoliopsida; Rosales; Rosaceae. The record is from RefSeq and is a predicted model, not a curated record.
CAAUGCGUUUAAAGAUAUAAAAUAUUAUUUUAGACUAAAUCAGCAAUUCUUUUAUCUUCUUAUAAUUCUUAUCUUUCUUUUUCUGCGGUGCAGAACAACAUUCUCUCCUCUCUCUCUCUCAAUGUCUGUGUGUGUGUGUGAAGAAUGAAGAGAGCGGUAAUCUUCCGAUGACCACCUGUACCGUACAAAAUCGGAUUUAGUCUUUUAUUUUGAGUGGUUUCUAUGUGAUCUACGUUUCAGCUCCAUCAAAAUGACGAGAAAAGCAUACCCAUACGGAGUCAAAUCUCAUAUUCGCACCAAAGAGUACAGAAUCGACUCUGGUGUGGCUGGACUUUUGAUUGUCCUUAAAAAUCUAAGGGAUGAGGUCAAUAUGAUUGUCAAAGUCAAAGGCUAAACUGCUCCAUGGGAAGAUCUUGGAAAGGAAAUACAAUCAUGAGGAUAUCAUCUUGUCCUUGAUUCACCAUCAAUCUAUUUGAACUUUUUAAGGGGUUGUAAUAUGAAAUUGAAGCUGCAAGAGCUUAUGAAUGAGGAGACAAAAAAUGUUGUUCACUCAAUAAGGAAAAGAUAUGGACUUGCAAUGCAUACAUCAGAAGAGAGGAGAGCAAUAUCUGGUAUUAUGAAAGAAGGGAGCUUUUAUAUGAACUUAUGUACCUGCCCAAUUGCUGCUGCAGUUACCUGUCAUCUGAGCUUCAGUCUUCGUUUGUAAAUCUGUCUUAUUGUUUUAGCUUUUAUAUUCUACCCUAGCUAGGAUAGUUGUUUAGUUUAUGAGCUUCAAGUUGAUAUUAUUACAUAGUCCAUAUUCAUGAUAAUCGAUUACAUGAGCUUCAAGUUGAUAUUAUUACAUAGUCCA